RNAcentral lists this long non-coding RNA (320 nucleotides) under Mytilus galloprovincialis (Mediterranean mussel). Lineage: Eukaryota; Metazoa; Mollusca; Bivalvia; Mytilida; Mytilidae. The record is from RNAcentral.
UAUGAUAUGAUCUUUCUAAUUUAAAUGCCAAAUUAGAGUUUUGACCCCAAUUUUACGGUUCACUGAACAUAGAAAAUGAUAGUGCAAAUUUCAGGUUAAAGUUUUUGGUCAAGGUAGUUUUUGAUGAAGUUGAAGUCCAAUCAACUUGAAACUUAGUAACAUGUGCCCUAUGAUAUGAUCUUUCUAAUUUAAAUGCCAAGUUAGAGUUUUGACCCCAAUUUUACGGUUCACUGAACAUAGAAAAUGAUAGUGCAAAUUUCAGGUUAAAGUUUUUGGCUUCAGGUUAAAGUUUUUGGUCAAAGUAGUUUUUGAUGAAGUUG